GACGAACGCUGGCGGCGUGCUUAACACAUGCAAGUCGAACGGAAAGGCCCUGCUUUUGUGGGGUGCUCGAGUGGCGAACGGGUGAGUAACACGUGAGUGACCUGCCCUUGACUUUGGGAUAACUUCAGGAAACUGGGGCUAAUACCGGAUAGGAGCUCCUGCUGCAUGGUGGGGGUUGGAAAGUUUCGGCGGUUGGGGAUGGACUCGCGGCUUAUCAGCUUGUUGGUGGGGUAGUGGCUUACCAAGGCUUUGCCGGGUAGCCGGCCUGAGAGGGUGACCGGCCACAUUGGGACUGAGAUACGGCCCAGACUCCUACGGGAGGCAGCAGUGGGGAAUAUUGCACAAUGGGCGGAAGCCUGAUGCAGCAACGCCGCGUGCGGGAUGACGGCCUUCGGGUUGUAAACCGCUUUCGCCUGUGACGAAGCGUGAGUGACGGUAAUGGGUAAAGAAGCACCGGCUAACUACGUG
This 468-nucleotide ribosomal RNA is filed under the name uncultured bacterium. RNAcentral describes it as "partial 16S ribosomal RNA". It matches the Rfam family "Bacterial small subunit ribosomal RNA", at positions 28 to 507 of the family's 1533-position model. The record is from RNAcentral.